UGGGGAAUCUUGGACAAUGGGGGCAACCCUGAUCCAGCCAUGCCGCGUGAGUGAUGAAGGCCUUAGGGUCGUAAAGCUCUUUCGCCUGUGAAGAUAAUGACGGUAGCAGGUAAAGAAGCCCCGGCUAACUCCGUGCCAGCAGCCGCGGUAAUACGGAGGGGGUUAGCGUUGUUCGGAAUUACUGGGCGUAAAGCGCACGUAGGCGGACCAGAAAGUUGGGGGUGAAAUCCCGGGGGCUCAACCCCGGAACUGCCUCCAAAACUAUUGGUCUAGAGUUCGAGAGAGGUGAGUGGAAUUCCAAGUGUAGAGGUGAAAUUCGUAGAUAUUUGGAGGAACACCAGUGGCGAAGGCGGCUACCUGGACCGAUACUGACGCUGAGGCGCGAAAGCGUGGGGAGCAAACAGGAUUAGAUACCCCUGGUAGUCCACGCCGUAAAACGAUGUCUGCUAGUCGUUGGGGAGCAUAGCUCUUCGGUGACGCAGCUAACGCAUUAAGCAGACCGCCUGGGGGAGUACGGCCGCAAGGUUAAAACUCAAAAGG
RNAcentral lists this ribosomal RNA (540 nucleotides) under uncultured bacterium. RNAcentral describes it as "bacterial SSU rRNA". It matches the Rfam family "Bacterial small subunit ribosomal RNA", at positions 355 to 908 of the family's 1533-position model. The record is from RNAcentral.